ACACACACUGUGAGAACAUGCGCGCAGUAAAAUGAGGGCAGAAAAAGAGGCCUGUAAUGCCUGAUCAACAAGCCUACCUGGAAGAGAAAAUUGCUCCAAGCAGCAUCCAUUUUGCGCCACAGCGAUGGAGAUUAUAAAGUCCUGAUUGAGAUCGGGCAGGGCUGCCUUUGCAUGGUUUUGAUCGGCCCACCGGAGAUCGAGGCGCACACAGUCGCCUGUUCUGCAGCAGAAACCACGGGCUUCUGGAUUUGCGUGAAAAACGCCAAUCGGGUGUUUGUCGAAGCCUCGCUGUUGGUUCACGCUCUGACCCCGGAGAGAGGCGCUCUCGGCCGGCCGCAGCCUAUCGCUCCACCUCGGCCGCUCAGCUGCGAGGAUGUCAUCUUUCUUUUUUUAUCGCCCGCUCUCCCUCCUCCCUCCCUGUCUCUUUCUUCCUUUUCUUUUUUAAUUCCUCUUUCUUCUCCCCCUCCUCUCCUUUUCUCGCACCGCUAUGUCCCACUUGCUCUUAAAGGGAGAGGGUUUUCCUCUUUGGACACCCCCCUCUCAUUUCCGUCCUCUCCCCUUCCCUUCCUGGUGUUUUGUCGGCCGACACUAAAUGUAGAUCUCCUGCAGAAAACAGGCUGAAUGACUUUCCAUUAACGGAGCGAUGACAGACGCAUCUUAAAGGGAGGUGCACAGAUCCUCCCCUUCGUCCUGUAAUAAUGAUGUCAGAGUCAGAUAUGGUACACAGGGCGAAUAGCAGCUCAGCAUGCACACAAUGGAUGAGCGUAAUCGUUCAUAAAAACAGCUGGUUAGGAAAAUAUAUAUACAAAUACAUAUUGUGCAUAACAUGGUAUUCUUAGCCUAUAUGCACACUUCCAAAUCUUUAUAAAAAAACCCCACAAUGCUUACUGGAUUAGUCAAUAAUAAUAAUAAUAAUAAUAAUGAAAAAAACAAUUAUUAAUAAGGGUAUCAUCUCGAUAUCAACUUGCAAACUUCCCCUUUAAAUCCAACUGUUUAUCCUAACACUUAAAUUAUCAUGAUUUUAAGUUACACAUUUACCAUUUACAGACUCUUAAAUGUGAAUAUGAGUGGAAUUUUUACGAUUGCAAAUGUAAAAAAUGUUCUUUUAUUCGAAGUCCAGGAGUCGCGGAAUUGGACAAAUAUGGUCCGUCCAGAAACAGUGAAUUAUCUUUUAAUGUUCCGUUUCAAUAUAUUGAUUAUUUCUUACACAAACCAACAUAUUUGGGAGAUUUACAAUUAUUGGGAAAAAAUAACACACUUGAUUGUAAACAUGGGCUUUGGGACAUUGAAAUGCUAUUUUUCUAUUGUCUCUAUCAUCAUUUUUGUCGUUAAAAUUGAUGAAAAAAAAUCAAAGCCAAAGUUGACAUCUUCAAACAUAAAAAACUGAAUAUAUUAAAGUUGAAAAUCCUGCUAUGUAAAAUACUAAAGAAGCCAAAAAGUAAAAUUUGUUCUUUAAUGUUCUGCUUCUGACCGUUCAGUUUCAACCUUGUAAUAAACAUCUUAAUAAAUGACGUCUUCCCAUUAAAACAUAUCAA
Long non-coding RNA from Eleginops maclovinus (Patagonian blennie), 1535 nucleotides. RefSeq lists it as uncharacterized. The record is from RefSeq and is a predicted model, not a curated record. The transcript is spliced from 2 exons. Lineage: Eukaryota; Metazoa; Chordata; Actinopteri; Perciformes; Eleginopidae.